GACGCACGCUGGCGGCGUGCCUAAUACAUGCAAGUAGAACGCACAGUUUAUACCGUAGCUUGCUACACCAUAGACUGUGAGUUGCGAACGGGUGAGUAACGCGUAGGUAACCUGCCUGGUAGCGGGGGAUAACUAUUGGAAACGAUAGCUAAUACCGCAUAAUAUUGAUUAUUGCAUGAUAAUUAAUUGAAAGGUGCAAUUGCACCACUACCAGAUGGACCUGCGUUGUAUUAGCUAGUAGGUGAGGUAACGGCUCACCUAGGCGACGAUACAUAGCCGACCUGAGAGGGUGAUCGGCCACACUGGGACUGAGACACGGCCCAGACUCCUACGGGAGGCAGCAGUAGGGAAUCUUCGGCAAUGGACGAAAGUCUGACCGAGCAACGCCGCGUGAGUGAAGAAGGUUGUCGGAUCGUAAAGCUCUGUUGUAAGAGAAGAACGGGUGUGAGAGUGGAAAGUUCACAAUGUGACGGUAUCUUACCAGAAAGGGACGGCUAACUACGUG
This 505-nucleotide ribosomal RNA is filed under the name uncultured bacterium. Its description in RNAcentral is "partial 16S ribosomal RNA". It matches the Rfam family "Bacterial small subunit ribosomal RNA", at positions 28 to 507 of the family's 1533-position model. The record is from RNAcentral.